GCAUUAAUGGGGUAGUGGUAACCUGGGUCGUUGCCAGUGGCACUCGUCAUAGAGUUGUCGACCCGCCGGGGGUUCGAUUCCCUCUUAAUGCA
Molecule: non-coding RNA, 92 nt
Organism: Mycena sp. CBHHK59/15
Lineage: Eukaryota; Fungi; Basidiomycota; Agaricomycetes; Agaricales; Mycenaceae
Source: the annotation of a GenBank genome assembly